UCAAGGUUGACCUCGGAUCAGGUAGGAAUACCCGCUGAACUUAAGCAUAUCAAUAAGCGGAGGAAAAGAAACCAACAGGGAUUGCCUCAGUAACGGCGAGUGAAGCGGCAACAGCUCAAAUUUGAAAUCUGGCCUCACGGUCCGAGUUGUAAUUUGUAGAGGAUGCUUUUGGCAAGGUACUUUCCGAGUUCCCUGGAACGGGACGCCAUAGAGGGUGAGAGCCCCGUACGGUUAGACCACCGAGCCUCUGUAAAGCUCCUUCGACGAGUCGAGUAGUUUGGGAAUGCUGCUCUAAAUGGGAGGUGUACGUCUUCUAAAGCUAAAUACCGGCCAGAGACCGAUAGCGCACAAGUAGAGUGAUCGAAAGAUGAAAAGCACUUUGAAAAGAGGGUUAAAAAGUACGUGAAAUUGUUGAAAGGGAAGCAUUCAUGACCAGACUUGGGCUUGGUUGAACAUCCGGCGUUCUCGCCGGUGCACUCUGCCAGUCCAGGCCAGCAUCAGUUUGCCCCGGGGGACAAAGGCGGUGGGAAUGUGGCUCCUCUCGGGGAGUGUUAUAGCCCGCCGUGUAAUGCCCUGGGGUGGACUGAGGAACGCGCUUCGGCACGGAUGCUGGCGUAAUGGUCAUCAAUGACCCGUCUUGAAACACGGACCAAGGAGUCGUCUUCGUAUGCGAGUGUUCGGGUGUCAAACCCCUACGCGUAAUGAAAGUGAACGUAGGUGAGAGCUUCGGCGCAUCACCGACCGAUCCUGAUGUUCUCGGAUGGAUUUGAGUAAGAGCAUACGGGGCCGGACCCGAAAGAAGGUGAACUAUGCCUGUAUAGGGUGAAGCCAGAGGAAACUCUGGUGGAGGCUCGCAGCGGUUCUGACGUGCAAAUCGAUCGUCAAAUAUGGGCAUGGGGGCGAAAGACUAAUC
This 913-nucleotide ribosomal RNA is filed under the name Sarocladium bactrocephalum. RNAcentral's name for it is "eukaryotic LSU rRNA". It matches the Rfam family "Eukaryotic large subunit ribosomal RNA", at positions 1 to 936 of the family's 3401-position model. The record is from RNAcentral. Lineage: Eukaryota; Fungi; Ascomycota; Sordariomycetes; Hypocreales; Sarocladiaceae.